CCGAAGAUAAGGACGGUAGCAGGUAAAGAAACCCCGGCUAAGUCCGAGCCAGCAGCCGCGGUAAUACGGAGGGGGUGAGCGUUAUUCGGAAUUACUGGGAGUAAAGCGCACGUAGGCGGAUUGGAAAGUGGGGGGUGAAAUCCCAGGGCUCAACCUGGGAAGUGCAUUCCAAACUAUCAGUCUAGAGUUCGAGAGAGGUGAGUGGAAUUUCGAGUGUAGAGGUGAAAUUCGUAGAUAUUGGGAGGACCACCAGUGGCGAAGGCGG
Molecule: ribosomal RNA, 265 nt
Filed under: uncultured Gammaproteobacteria bacterium
Lineage: Bacteria; Pseudomonadati; Pseudomonadota; Gammaproteobacteria
Description: partial 16S ribosomal RNA
Rfam family: Bacterial small subunit ribosomal RNA
Source: RNAcentral